Sarcophilus harrisii (Tasmanian devil) is the source of this 88-nucleotide non-coding RNA. The record is from Rfam. Lineage: Eukaryota; Metazoa; Chordata; Mammalia; Dasyuromorphia; Dasyuridae.
UACACCUUGCUUUGGCUGGUCAAACGGAACCAAGUCCGUCUGACUGAGAGGUUUGGUCCCCUUCAACCAGCUACAGCAGGGCUGACAU